UACGGAGGGUGCAAGCGUUAAUCGGAAUUACUGGGCGUAAAGCGUGCGCAGGCGGUUAUGUAAGACAGAUGUGAAAUGCCCGGGCUUAACCUGGGAACUGCAUUUGUGACUGCAUGGCUAGAGUUUGGCAGAGGGGGGUAGAAUUCCACGUGUAGCAGUGAAAUGCGUAGAUAUGUGGAGGAACACCGAUGGCGGAGGCAGCCCCCUGGGUCAAGACUGACGCUCAUGCACGAAAGCGUGGGGAGCAAACAGG
RNAcentral lists this ribosomal RNA (253 nucleotides) under uncultured bacterium. Its description in RNAcentral is "partial 16S ribosomal RNA". It matches the Rfam family "Bacterial small subunit ribosomal RNA", at positions 524 to 776 of the family's 1533-position model. The record is from RNAcentral.